This 577-nucleotide ribosomal RNA is filed under the name Glomeromycotina sp. RNAcentral describes it as "eukaryotic LSU rRNA". It matches the Rfam family "Eukaryotic large subunit ribosomal RNA", at positions 110 to 628 of the family's 3401-position model. Lineage: Eukaryota; Fungi; Glomeromycota. The record is from RNAcentral.
CAAAUUUAAAAUCUACCUGGUUUUCAGGUCGAGUUGUAAUUUGAAGAUACGUUUUUGACGUUCCGGGUUGAACUAAAUCCUUUGGGAUAAGGUAUCAUGGAGGGUGAGAAUCCCGUAUAUACCAACCAUAGGGAUGUUAUUUAAUACGUUUCUAAGAGUCGAGUUGUUUGGGAAUGCAGCUCUAAAUGGGUGGUAAAUUUCACCUAAUGCUAAAUAUAAGCGAGAGACCGAUAGCGAACAAGUACAGUGAUGGAAAGAUGAAAAGAACUUUGAAAAGAGAGUUAAAUAGUAYGUGAAAUUGUUGAAAGGGAAACGAUUGAAGUCAGUCAUGCCGGUGGGAAUCAACUUUGAGGAAACUCUGAGUGCACUUCUUCGCUUGGCAGGUCAACGUCGAUUUUGGAUKUCAUAAAAUGAUUGGGGGAAGGUAGCUCCUUYGGGAGUGUUAUAGCCCUUGGUAGAUGUGAUGUCUGGGAUCGAGGAUUGCAAUGGAUACCCUUUGGGGCUAGCCGCCUGAUCUCUAAUUGGUAUUGGGUUACGGAUAGCAUGCUGACCGUGAUCUAAUUAUUGGUUAAAAGGU